GACUCGCUCGACGGUAUCUCUCGAGGCGCGGAGCCGCGACUAGUUCGCAUCCGACUGUCCGCAAGCGCGGCCGGUCUCCCGGCUGUCGGAUCUGAUGCCGGCACCGGGCCCGGACGGCUGCUGGCGGGCACGUUCUCGGAUAGACUCUGACUCACGCCUAUCGGCGACGCUAUAGCUUUGGGUAAUCUCAGGACCCGUCUUGAAACACGGACCAAGGAGUCUAGCAUGUGCGCGAGUCAUUGGGACUCUUAAACCUAAUGGCGCAAUGAAAGUAAAGGCCGCCUUGCGCGCGCCUAGGGAAGAUGGGUCGCACCGCGGUGUGGCCCCGCACUCCUGGGGCGUCUCGUGCCCAUUGCGGGCUGAGGCGCACCGAGAGCGCAAAUGCUGGGACCCGAAAGAUGGUGAACUAUGCCUGGUCAGAACGAAGUCAGGGGAAACCCUGAUGGAGGUUCGUAGCGAUUCUGACGUGCAAAUCGAUCGUCGGAACUGGGUAU
This 494-nucleotide ribosomal RNA is filed under the name Heterotemna tenuicornis. RNAcentral describes it as "partial large subunit ribosomal RNA". It matches the Rfam family "Eukaryotic large subunit ribosomal RNA", at positions 599 to 918 of the family's 3401-position model. The record is from RNAcentral. Lineage: Eukaryota; Metazoa; Arthropoda; Insecta; Coleoptera; Silphidae.